GUGGCUGUAGCUCAGUUGGUAGAGCCCCGGGUUGUGGUCCCGGUUGUCGAGGGUUCAAGUCCCUUCAGUCACC
Molecule: transfer RNA, 73 nt
Filed under: Planctomycetaceae bacterium
Lineage: Bacteria; Pseudomonadati; Planctomycetota; Planctomycetia; Planctomycetales; Planctomycetaceae
Also listed under: 2 other names
Description: tRNA-His
Rfam family: tRNA
About the family: Transfer RNA (tRNA) molecules are approximately 80 nucleotides in length. Their secondary structure includes four short double-helical elements and three loops (D, anti-codon, and T loops). Further hydrogen bonds mediate the characteristic L-shaped molecular structure. tRNAs have two regions of fundamental functional importance: the anti-codon, which is responsible for specific mRNA codon recognition, and the 3' end, to which the tRNAs corresponding amino acid is attached (by aminoacyl-tRNA synthetases). tRNAs cope with the degeneracy of the genetic code in two manners: having more than one tRNA (with a specific anti-codon) for a particular amino acid; and 'wobble' base-pairing, i.e. permitting non-standard base-pairing at the 3rd anti-codon position.
Source: RNAcentral